GAUGAAGAACGUAGCGAAAUGCGAUACGUAAUGUGAAUUGCAGAAUUCAGUGAAUCAUCGAAUCUUUGAACGCAUAUUGCGCUCUCUGGUAUUCCGGAGAGCAUGCUUGUUUGAGUAUCAGUAAACACCUCAACUCCCUUUUCUUUUUUGAAAUUGGAGCUGGACUUGAGUGAUCCCAACGCUUUCUUCCAAGAAAGUGGCGGGUUGCUUGAAAUGCAGGUGCAGCUGAACUUUUCUCUGAGCUAUAAGCAUAUCUAUUUAGUCUGCCUAAAAAACAUAUUAUUACCUUUGCUGCAGCUAACAUAAAGGAGACUAGUUCUUGUGCUGACUGAUGCAGGAUUCACAGAGACAGCUUCGGCUGACUUUGUAAACUCGAUCUCAGAUCAAGUAAGACUACCCGCUGAACUUAAGCAUAUCAAUAAGCGGAGGA
Molecule: unclassified non-coding RNA, 430 nt
Filed under: soil metagenome
Description: partial contains 5.8S ribosomal RNA, internal transcribed spacer 2, and large subunit ribosomal RNA
Rfam family: 5.8S ribosomal RNA (bases 1-120)
Source: RNAcentral